ACUCAGCUUACUUAAGACUCCGAUUGCAUAAACUUGGUGCCUAAAGACAAAUGACAUCAAUCUCCUCUUGAGUGAGUGUUCUUUUUUGAACCAAAUGAGGAAGCUGGGGCCUCUGGAAAAAACAGCACCAACUCAGGUCAGGGAACUUGUCU
RNAcentral lists this long non-coding RNA (152 nucleotides) under Zonotrichia albicollis (white-throated sparrow). RNAcentral describes it as "lncRNA (ENSZALG00000012965.1)". The record is from RNAcentral. Lineage: Eukaryota; Metazoa; Chordata; Aves; Passeriformes; Passerellidae.